AUAGGACAAAUCUGCUGGUUCUUGUCAUGUUGAGGUCAAUCUUUCGAACCCACAUGCGCAGAACACACUCUGGAGACGGGUAGCGGUAAAGGUGAUUUAUUAAAUACUGUGCAAACAGGUAUGUACAAAGGUGGUCCGGAACUGGUGCUCGUCUGUGUGGUUCAGGAUUUUUGCCGGUGAGCU
Molecule: long non-coding RNA, 183 nt
Organism: Xiphophorus couchianus (Monterrey platyfish)
Lineage: Eukaryota; Metazoa; Chordata; Actinopteri; Cyprinodontiformes; Poeciliidae
Exons: 3
Source: RefSeq, a predicted model, not a curated record